Molecule: ribosomal RNA, 491 nt
Filed under: uncultured bacterium
Lineage: Bacteria
Description: partial 16S ribosomal RNA
Rfam family: Bacterial small subunit ribosomal RNA
Source: RNAcentral
GUGAACGCUGGCGGUCGGCCUAACACAUGCAAGUCGAACGGCAGCACCGUAAGAGCUUGCUCUUACGGGUGGCGAGUGGCGGACGGGUGAGGAAUACAUCGGAAUCUACUUUUUCGUGGGGGAUAACGUAGGGAAACUUACGCUAAUACCGCAUACGACCUACGGGUGAAAGCAGGGGAUCUUCGGACCUUGCGCGAUUGAAUGAGCCGAUGUCGGAUUAGCUAGUUGGCGGGGUAAAGGCCCACCAAGGCGACGAUCCGUAGCUGGUCUGAGAGGAUGAUCAGCCACACUGGAACUGAGACACGGUCCAGACUCCUACGGGAGGCAGCAGUGGGGAAUAUUGGACAAUGGGCGCAAGCCUGAUCCAGCCAUACCGCGUGGGUGAAGAAGGCCUUCGGGUUGUAAAGCCCUUUUGUUGGGAAAGAAAAGCAGCAGGUUAAUACCGCGCUGUUCUGACGGUACCCAAAGAAUAAGCACCGGCUAACUUCGUG